CACCACUGGGCCCGUGGACUCAGGGGUCGUGUUGUUGGUCAGAUCGAGGGGCGUCUCCUGUCCGUCCCCCCAGCUGAACACGCCAAGCAGGUUGGUGGGGAGGUGCUCCACAUUUGCCACUGUCAGGGUCACAUCAGCAUCACCUGAGGAGGGAUGUGUCUAGAAGGUAUGAUUAGUGCAUGAACCUGGAGGCAAGACUGGCAGGUUGUUCAGUGUCAGCUCAAGGUGGUGUGGCUGGACAGGGUGCUCCAGAGUGACAGUGGUGGAGGCUGGUGGCGACACUCCUGCCUCCCCUUGUGUGGUCAUGUUUAUCAUCAUUUCUCCAGCCUGCCAGGAGAGACAAAGUAAAGUUCUUGAUGAAAAUAGCUGCAUGAAAGUUGGUGCAUCACCACUCACCUCAAAAAAGGUGUGACUGAUGUAGUGAGCAGUGCUGGUGAUUGUCUGACCCUCAAUGUAGAAUGCAUAGCUGGUGACAUCUCCAGAGAGCA
Scylla paramamosain (green mud crab) is the source of this 488-nucleotide long non-coding RNA. RefSeq lists it as uncharacterized. NCBI's taxonomy places the organism in Eukaryota, Metazoa, Arthropoda, Malacostraca, Decapoda, Portunidae. The transcript has 3 exons. The record is from RefSeq and is a predicted model, not a curated record.